GGUUUUCUCAUGGCAACUUGCUUGAAAACCGCCUCUGGCAAUCAGAUGCUGCACCAGUUUGUUCCGCAUAAUUGCGAAAGUAUUGCAAUUUGCUGUCUUCCGCUUUCGAGUAAGUCCUACUUCAGAACUUAAUUGAAUUAUCCGUGUGGCGUGCCGCAACAAAAACCUCGCCAAGCCGCAAAAUGAAAUUGUUUGCCAAAGGACACGAGCGCAGAUCUGGGCCGAAAGAACGGAAAACCCAACUGAAAACCCGAGUCAUGUUUUAAUAAUUUUGCAAGACCAACAGCGCUGGCGAAAUUCAAUUUUAUUCAAUAAUAUUAGCUGCUGGCAUUCGGAGCAUAUUCGGCUUGUGGUCGCCAACUUUUGCCUGGGUCCCUGUCCUGCCUGCAACCGCAUUGGGAAUCUGGAUCCGGUUCUAGAUCUGGAGCCUGAAGCCCCCAAAGGACUCCGUGUGAGCAGGGAGCGUCUUGCCCAACCCAACUGCUGCACCUCCGGCUCGAUUUGUUUGACUUGGCACGCAAACUUGGAGCCAAGUUUUGGCUAGUUAAGCCAAAAACCGCCAUCUGCCGCAUAUGGAAAUUGGGUCGGGCUAAAUUCACUCCUUGGCCACCGGGAGUUAGGAACCCCCCGAUGUUGGCUGUGUAAUCUACUUGGGCUGCUAACACAAGCCAACUUCGAGGCGCCUUUGUUGAUUUUAUACCGCAGCUGGUGCGAAGUUAUAUCACAGACCCUUGGGGCCUGAUUCCCUAAUUUGUUAUUGGCCAGCCAUUCGAUUCGAGGUGGCAAAACUCGGUGUUGGCUCAUAGGAAAUGCAUAUGGAAUUUAAUUGGCCUACCAAUGGACGGCCAGCACAACUUUGUGAAUCCGUUUUUUCUGAGUUUUCUCAGAACAGCCAAGGGAACUUUCUUCGAUUUUACCGAAUAACUAUGCUGAUAUUAGAGCCGAAGUUAAGUAGGUAAACCUACCCACCCUUUGUCUAUGGUGUUUAUUAAAUCUUAUAAAUGAACAGCCUACGGAACUUUCUUCGAUUUUUCCCCAUAAGUAUGCUGAUAUUAGAGCCCAAGUUAAGUAGGUCCACCCACCCACUCCUUUGCCAUUUAAAUGUUCAUUUCUGGGCUCCGACCAGAUGCUGCGAAAUCCGAGACGCUCACAAAUUAUAUGUUAAUGCAAUUGUAAUUGAUACAAAUUUGAUAUC
Molecule: long non-coding RNA, 1195 nt
Organism: Drosophila subpulchrella
Lineage: Eukaryota; Metazoa; Arthropoda; Insecta; Diptera; Drosophilidae
Exons: 3
Source: RefSeq, a predicted model, not a curated record